Molecule: long non-coding RNA, 649 nt
Organism: Hyla sarda
Lineage: Eukaryota; Metazoa; Chordata; Amphibia; Anura; Hylidae
Exons: 3
Source: RefSeq, a predicted model, not a curated record
GCAGCACUACUGAAAUAGAACUCCCAGGAGGUAACAGCGUGUCACACAUGUGAUGUCAUAACCAUUGUCCACCAAAGAGCAGCAAUGAGCAGAAAUAACACGGCUCCUGUUCAUUCUCCAUCAGUGAGGGGCCGGUGCUGGACACUGUGUAGGGACGCGGGAAUGCAAAGUCAUACACAUGACUGUGACUGAUGCACUAUCUCCAGGACAUGGAGUAGCAUUUCCGGACCUACAGCAAGACGUUGGAUGAAGGCAUAGCCCCAGAAAUAACACUGGUCCUGUUCAUCAGUGAGGGGCCGGUGCUGGACACUGUGUAGGGACACGGGAAUGCAAAGUCAUGCACAUGACUGUGACUGAUGCAGUAUCUCCAGGACAUGGAGUAGCAUUUCGGGACCUACAGCAAGACGUUGGAUGAAGGCACAGGCCUAGGAAUCAUGCACAUACACAGAAACAUUUGGCCAAAUUCUAGAGGUAACCUCCUUUAGUAUGCCCAGAGGAAGGGCCAUACAGUAGCCAUGGAUUCCCUACAGGUUUCCUCCCCUCUGGAGGUUUUUCCUGUCCUGAGUAUUAGUUACUGUACGCUCUUUGUGAGUGAUGGGAGGUUACAAAAAAUCCCCUACACAAACAUUUUAAUAAAUUAUAAAUAAAG